CGAAGCGUGCGAUUGGAUUGCACGUCUAAGCAGUAAGGCUGAGUAUUAGGCAAAUCCGGUACUCAUUAAGGCUGAGCUGUGAUGGGGAGAAGACAUUGUGUCUUCGAGUCGUUGAUUUCACACUGCCGAGAAAAGCCUCUAGAUAGAAAAUAGGUGCCCGUACCGCAAACCGACACAGGUAGUCAAGAUGAGAAUUCUAAGGUGAGCGAGCGAACUCUCGUUAAGGAACUCGGCAAAAUGACCCCGUAACUUCGGGAGAAGGGGUGCUCUUUAGGGUUAACGCCCAGAAGAGCCGCAGUGAAUAGGCCCAAGCGACUGUUUAUCAAAAACACAGGUCUCUGCUAAACCGUAAGGUGAUGUAUAGGGGCUGACGCCUGCCCGGUGCUGGAAGGUUAAGAGGAGUGGUUAGCUUCUGCGAAGCUACGAAUCGAAGCCCCAGUAAACGGCGGCCGUAACUAUAACGGUCCUAAGGUAGCGAAAUUCCUUGUCGGGUAAGUUCCGACCCGCACGAAAGGCGUAACGAUUUGGGCACUGUCUCAACGAGAGACUCGGUGAAAUCAUAGUACCUGUGAAGAUGCAGGUUACCCGCGACAGGACGGAAAGACCCCGUGGAGCUUUACUGUAGCCUGAUAUUGAAAUUCGGCACAGCUUGUACAGGAUAGGUAGGAGCCUUUGAAACGUGAGCGCUAGCUUACGUGGAGGCGCUGGUGGGAUACUACCCUAGCUGUGUUGGCUUUCUAACCCGCACCACUUAUCGUGGUGGGAGACAGUGUCAGGCGGGCAGUUUGACUGGGGCGGUCGCCUCCUAAAAGGUAACGGAGGCGCUCAAAGGUUCCCUCAGAAUGGUUGGAAAUCAUUCAUAGAGUGUAAAGGCAUAAGGGAGCUUGACUGCGAGACCUACAAGUCGAGCAGGGUCGAAAGACGGACUUAGUGAUCCGGUGGUUCCGCAUGGAAGGGCCAUCGCUCAACGGAUAAAAGCUACCCCGGGGAUAACAGGCUUAUCUCCCCCAAGAGUUCACAUCGACGGGGAGGUUUGGCACCUCGAUGUCGGCUCAUCGCAUCCUGGGGCUGUAGUCGGUCCCAAGGGUUGGGCUGUUCGCCCAUUAAAGCGGUACGCGAGCUGGGUUCAGAACGUCGUGAGACAGUUCGGUCCCUAUCCGUCGUGGGCGUAGGAAAUUUGAGAGGAGCUGUCCUUAGUACGAGAGGACCGGGAUGGACAUACCUCUGGUGUACCAGUUGUCGUGCCAACGGCAUAGCUGGGUAGCUAUGUGUGGACGGGAUAAGUGCUGAAAGCAUCUAAGCAUGAAGCCCCCCUCAAGAUGAGAUUUCCCAACUUCGGUUAUAAGAUCCCUCAAAGAUGAUGAGGUUAAUAGGUUCGAGGUGGAAGCAUGGUGACAUGUGGAGCUG
RNAcentral lists this ribosomal RNA (1407 nucleotides) under Staphylococcus aureus. RNAcentral's name for it is "partial 23S ribosomal RNA". It matches the Rfam family "Bacterial large subunit ribosomal RNA", at positions 1487 to 2893 of the family's 2925-position model. Lineage: Bacteria; Bacillati; Bacillota; Bacilli; Caryophanales; Staphylococcaceae. The record is from RNAcentral.